RNAcentral lists this ribosomal RNA (497 nucleotides) under uncultured bacterium. RNAcentral's name for it is "partial 16S ribosomal RNA". It matches the Rfam family "Bacterial small subunit ribosomal RNA", at positions 28 to 507 of the family's 1533-position model. The record is from RNAcentral.
GAUGAACGCUGGCGGCGUGCCUAAUACAUGCAAGUCGAGCGAACGGACGAGAAGCUUGCUUCUCUGAUGUUAGCGGCGGACGGGUGAGUAACACGUGGAUAACCUACCUAUAAGACUGGGAUAACUUCGGGAAACCGGAGCUAAUACCGGAUAAUAUUUUGAACCGCAUGGUUCAAAAGUGAAAGACGGUCUUGCUGUCACUUAUAGCUGGAUCCGCGCUGCAUUAGCUAGUUGGUAAGGUAACGGCUUACCAAGGCAACGACGCAUAGCCGACCUGAGAGGGUGAUCGGCCACACUGGAACUGAGACACGGUCCAGACUCCUACGGGAGGCAGCAGUAGGGAAUCUUCCGCAAUGGGCGAAAGCCUGACGGAGCAACGCCGCGUGAGUGAUGAAGGUCUUCGGAUCGUAAAACUCUGUUAUUAGGGAAGAACAUAUGUGUAAGUAACUGUGCACAUCUUGACGGUACCUAAUCAGAAAGCCACGGCUAACUACGUG